This 473-nucleotide ribosomal RNA is filed under the name uncultured bacterium. RNAcentral describes it as "bacterial SSU rRNA". It matches the Rfam family "Bacterial small subunit ribosomal RNA", at positions 335 to 801 of the family's 1533-position model. The record is from RNAcentral.
ACUCCUACGGGAGGCAGCAGUAGGGAAUCUUCCACAAUGGGCGCAAGCCUGAUGGAGCAACACCGCGUGAGUGAAGAAGGGUUUCGGCUCGUAAAGCUCUGUUGUUAAAGAAGAACACGUAUGAGAGUAACUGUUCAUACGUUGACGGUAUUUAACCAGAAAGUCACGGCUAACUACGUGCCAGCAGCCGCGGUAAUACGUAGGUGGCAAGCGUUAUCCGGAUUUAUUGGGCGUAAAGAGAGUGCAGACGGUUUUCUAAGUCUGAUGUGAAAGCCUUCGGCUUAACCGGAGAAGUGCAUCGGAAACUGGAUAACUUGAGUGCAGAAGAGGGUAGUGGAACUCCAUGUGUAGCGGUGGAAUGCGUAGAUAUAUGGAAGAACACCAGUGGCGAAGGCGGCUACCUGGUCUGCAACUGACGCUGAGACUCGAAAGCAUGGGUAGCGAACAGGAUUAGAUACCCUGGUAGGAUAGCG